UACGUAGGGUGCGAGCGUUGUCCGGAAUUAUUGGGCGUAAAGAGCUCGUAGGCGGUUUGUCGCGUCGGCCGUGAAAACUUGGGGCUUAACUCCAAGCUUGCGGUCGAUACGGGCAGACUUGAGUUCGGCAGGGGAGACUGGAAUUCCCGGUGUAGUGGUGGAAUGCGUAGAUAUCGGGAGGAACACCGGUGGCGAAGGCGGGUCUCUGGGCAGUAACUGACGCUGAGGAGCGAAAGCGUGGGGAGCGAACAGG
This 253-nucleotide ribosomal RNA is filed under the name uncultured bacterium. RNAcentral describes it as "partial 16S ribosomal RNA". It matches the Rfam family "Bacterial small subunit ribosomal RNA", at positions 524 to 776 of the family's 1533-position model. The record is from RNAcentral.